UUGGCCAAAAUGAUGGAAAAGGUUUAUUUUGAAAAGUCAAAAUUUCACUUCACUUGAAAUUAAUUCAAGUAAGUCAAAAAAUGCCAUUUUGAUUGGUGAAGUUUUGGCACAUGAAAGUUAUAUUUUUGGAAAGAGGGGAUCAAAUGUGACUUGUAGGAAAAAACCCCACCCAAAUUGGCCAAAUGGUUUGAGAGAUAUGGCCUUUUGAAGUUCAAGAAUUUUUGAAAACGAUUUGAUCAUAACUUG
This 246-nucleotide long non-coding RNA is filed under the name Lathyrus oleraceus (garden pea). RNAcentral describes it as "Pisum sativum (pea) long non-coding RNA (PSAT_LNC022925)". The record is from RNAcentral. Lineage: Eukaryota; Viridiplantae; Streptophyta; Magnoliopsida; Fabales; Fabaceae.